RNAcentral lists this ribosomal RNA (465 nucleotides) under Vreelandella stevensii. RNAcentral's name for it is "partial 16S ribosomal RNA". It matches the Rfam family "Bacterial small subunit ribosomal RNA", at positions 338 to 795 of the family's 1533-position model. Lineage: Bacteria; Pseudomonadati; Pseudomonadota; Gammaproteobacteria; Oceanospirillales; Halomonadaceae. The record is from RNAcentral.
CCUACGGGUGGCUGCAGUGGGGAAUAUUGGACAAUGGGGGCAACCCUGAUCCAGCCAUGCCGCGUGUGUGAAGAAGGCCCUCGGGUUGUAAAGCACUUUCAGUGAGGAAGAACGCCUGGUGGUUAAUACCCAUCAGGAAAGACAUCACACACAGAAGAAGCACCGGCUAACUCCGUGCCAGCAGCCGCGGUAAUACGGAGGGUGCGAGCGUUAAUCGGAAUUACUGGGCGUAAAGCGCGCGUAGGUGGCUUGAUAAGCCGGUUGUGAAAGCCCCGGGCUCAACCUGGGAACGGCAUCCGGAACUGUCAAGCUAGAGUGCAGGAGAGGAAGGUAGAAUUCCCGGUGUAGCGGUGAAAUGCGUAGAGAUCGGGAGGAAUACCAGUGGCGAAGGCGGCCUUCUGGACUGACACUGACACUGAGGUGCGAAAGCGUGGGUAGCAAACAGGAUUAGAUACCCGUGUAGUC